This 253-nucleotide ribosomal RNA is filed under the name uncultured bacterium. Its description in RNAcentral is "partial 16S ribosomal RNA". It matches the Rfam family "Bacterial small subunit ribosomal RNA", at positions 524 to 776 of the family's 1533-position model. The record is from RNAcentral.
UACGGAGGAUCCAAGCGUUAUCCGGAAUCACUGGGCGUAAAGGGUGCGUAGGCGGUUUUUUAAGUCAGGGGUGAAAUCCUGGAGCUCAACUCCAGAACUGCCUUUGAUACUGAAGAUCUUGAGUUCGGGAGAGGUGAGUGGAACUGCGAGUGUAGAGGUGAAAUUCGUAGAUAUUCGCAAGAACACCAGUGGCGAAGGCGGCUCACUGGCCCGAUACUGACGCUGAGGCACGAAAGCGUGGGGAGCAAACAGG